GAGUGAUAAGUAGGUAAUUUUAAUUGGGGAAAUUAAAAAAUAAUAAGAAACUUUAUUAUGAAAGUUAGUAUUAAAAACUAUGGGAAAGAUACUCUAGGGAUAACAGCGUUAUUACUUUGGAGAGUACAUAUUGAUAAAGUAGUUUGCGACCUCGAUGUUGAAUUAACGGACCUUCUAGUUGGAGAGGACUAGGAAGGCAGAUUGUCCAUCUGUUAAAUCGUUACUUGAUCUGAGUUCAGACCGGA
This 245-nucleotide ribosomal RNA is filed under the name Halarachne halichoeri. Its description in RNAcentral is "partial large subunit ribosomal RNA". It matches the Rfam family "Bacterial large subunit ribosomal RNA", at positions 2252 to 2620 of the family's 2925-position model. The record is from RNAcentral. Lineage: Eukaryota; Metazoa; Arthropoda; Arachnida; Mesostigmata; Halarachnidae.